Molecule: long non-coding RNA, 3284 nt
Organism: Ostrinia nubilalis (European corn borer)
Lineage: Eukaryota; Metazoa; Arthropoda; Insecta; Lepidoptera; Crambidae
Exons: 3
Source: RefSeq, a predicted model, not a curated record
AGCAGCAGCAGCAGCAGCAACAACAGCAGCAGCAACAACAACAGCAGCAGCAGCAGCAACAACAAGCUCAACAACAGGCAGCACAACAGGCCGCGCAACAAGUGCAGCAACAAGUCCAACAACAAGUGCAGCAACAACAACAGCAGCAGCAUCAGCAGCACCAGACGAACUUGGACAUAGAACAGGACCACAAUCAACCAGCGCAUAUACAAGUGGUAACGAACCGGUCAGGCCAAGUGAUCGGUAACCAGAUAGUGGUGGGGUCACUAAGUGGCGUCGGCGCACGACGCUUGGUAGCCGGUUCACAGCUGCACAUCAUUCGUGACGCCAAGUCCGCGCCGCACUUGCACGCCAAGCGCGCGAUACACGCCGCCGGCGAUGUGAAAGAAGUCGGUGGGCUGGUCCUAUCAACGGGUAGAGGAACGGGCCUCAUCAAGUACGAGAUAUCCAUCCCUCCACCAACGUCCGUGGUUCAAGUCCAACAGCUGGACUGAUCCAUGGCCCGCGGCCGAGCCGACUCGUCCGACUGACAGGGAUACAGUGACCUUGGACAGUGAGUGCACUGUGAAAGUGAAAGUGAAUGUGAACGGACACCUGGACGUGGAACACACUGUGAAUAUAACUGACAGGUAACGUCCAAAUGUCACAGUUGUCAAAUAUGUUAAAAUAGCAGUGUUGUAGUCUUUUUUUGCAGUACCAGUGACUGACAAGUUUAAACUUAUGGUAAUUGAGCAGAUGUUGAUGUCAAAAUCUGUAUGUAGUAUUCCAUCUAGAUAUGUCUUAGCAAAUCUGACCUCAUCAUUGUUUUAUUAAAAGCACACGUCAAAUUUUCCAUUUCAACUUGCGAGCGAUGUGGGUGGGAAAUGUUCUAAAAAUAUGUUUGUAAUAAAGAUAUUGAAAAUCCAAAGUAAGUCUUCCGAAGAAAGGUUGUAAACACCAGGCGAUGUUAGAACUAACUGUUUUUUUUAAUAAUACCAUCUCUCACACACUUGAAAAUUAGAACAUGCACAUUUUGCAUUUAAUGUAUUGAGCAAGUAAAAACCUACUUGCAUGAUAUAUUAAAAACUCAUUGUGAUCCAGUUACAUAAAAUAAUAGUUUUUUAAAAUACUACACUAAUUGAAUCUUCCAUUUGAGUAGAGAAUAGUUAUCGAUGAUAUACCUAAGUUUCCUGUUAUAUGUGGUUAGAACGAGUAGUGAAAUGUAUCUUAGCCUUUAUUUUAUUGUUGCUAGGUAGACGAUCACAUAUUCUCUGCUUGAAUGACUAUUGUUAAUUGUAAAUAGUAGACGUCCAAUGAUUGUUACCUCAAUUUGUUUGAGCCUCAUGUUGGUAGGUAAGCUUUUGUAUGGGCAGCGAUGAGUGCAUUUACAUUGACUCAAUAAAAUGGAGUAUAAUGUCAUGUUUUCAAUUAUAAUUUUGUUGUAAUUAAUUUUCACUAAAGCCCGGUCCGUGAGCACGUAUAAUUUUGUCCAAUGACCCCAAGCUACCUAUCCUUAUCGCUCGCGUGCAAUUAUAUUGCUGUCGCGACUGUGCGACAGGCGCCCGCAGUGAGUGUGCGAGCGCGACAGCAACAUAAUUACGAUACGAACUACGAUAGGUAGUUUGGGGUCAUUGGACGAAAUUCUACGUGCUCACAGACCAGACUAUACACCGUCUUUCCAUAAUGUCAAGAAAUAAAAACCUCAUAAAUAAAUAAUAUUAUAUUUUGUGUUGUUUUGUCUGGUUUGGAAUGAGGUUGCAGUGAAACGUUUACUGUCAUGUUAUGUAUGUCGAAGAAAGUAACUUUAUUUGCGGGAGCCUGUAAGAUUGAGGUACGGCACAAUUGGUCCCAAAUAUUGAAUAUUGGACAAAUAUUGGCUAGUAAAUAAUAUUCCUUGAGGAAUAAUAAAAUCGUAAGAAUACCAACAGAUCGGAAAGCUUUAUUUAAAUAUACGUCUCAUUGACAGCCUUAAUUAAGUUGUCUUUUUAAUGGAUAAUCGCGUGAUUCAUAGUGUAAACUACUUAAUUUCUCGGUGGCAAUAAUAUGUGAAGCGCUCGUUGUAUUAUAAGGGUAUGCUCUAAAAUUUAGAGUGUCAUUGCGAUUGUGUAAAAAGACAGGAGUACCUACCAUAUUUGUAAUGUAUUAUAGAGUAGAGCGUAAGGGUAAUGUAGUUACUAGCUUAGUGUAAUCUCUUGUACAUAUCAAUACGUUUUGUAUCGGCAUCGACGCGCGGUUUUGUAAGUAUAAACAACUGUACAAUCUCUCUGUAGGUACCGCAUUUAAUUUACUUAUGUUAUAUUGUAACGGCCUCUUUUUUUAUAAGUCGGUUAAGUACAUAAAGAUGUUAUUUGCGUCUUAAGUAAUAGAUGGCAGGUUACGGACGUAUAAUGUGCAAUCGGAAUUCAAGAUUUAGUUGAAACAUCAUAGAUCUGAGAGUGACAAUGAUUACAAAGAUUUUAUAACUUGGCACUUUGUACGGUACAGCUGACCUCACUUGGAACGAAAGUAAGAACUGAUGGUAGCUUGCUUUUAGGGUGAAAUUGCAUGUGUCUGACCCAACCUCAUUUUCGGAUAUUUGUAAGUUGAUUUUCCAAAAGGGGUGGGAUUAUUUUAAGCCUUCAGAUAAACUGGGUACGUUAUAAAGUAUUAAAACACAAGACUUGAUUAUUUUUGUUUUCUCUAGAUGACUAUUAAUUGUCUUUGAAGAACUCCUUAAUUCAGGUAGUUUUAAAACAAUCUGUAGCAUAUUAGUUUGUAUUAAAGUCAGACAAUCAAUUUCAUCCUGCAUAAUUGUAUCUUUUAAUUUCGUAUUUUUUUAAUUUAAGUUGAUUUAUUCAUAAGAAUACAUUAUGAUUAAUGCUUAAAGAAUUAAUUUGUGUUGUUUAAUAUUUAUUUAUGUAUGUAUGUAGUCGAGUCAGGUCACCAGUUCCGUUCACGUAGUUCGAAGUGGCAAAGCUUCCAUGUCUUCUGAAAUAUUGUGUUUCUAGUCUGUGAUAGAGAGUGUAUAUUUCUAUCUAAGAGAAUCCUAUAUGGUAACAUUUUUAUUUGAAGUUAUAAAUGUCGUGAAACAAUUGUCUCAACUAAUAUUCUAUAUCUGUUGUGCUGCAUUAACUGUUAAAAAUGGUUUAUUUAAGUAAAUACAUAAAACACUUUGAUGAAUCAGAAAAAGAAAAGGUUUUAUAAAAUUAUUAAACUGUACUUGUGAAAACCUCUCAUAUAGGGUGGAAGUUACACUCUAUCGCUCCUCGCCUGACCGCCUUGCAGUGAGUGAGUGUGUCAGGGAGUUCCAACUAUAAUGCUUGGUU